This 493-nucleotide ribosomal RNA is filed under the name uncultured bacterium. Its description in RNAcentral is "partial 16S ribosomal RNA". It matches the Rfam family "Bacterial small subunit ribosomal RNA", at positions 30 to 523 of the family's 1533-position model. The record is from RNAcentral.
AUUGAACGCUGGCGGCAUGCUUUACACAUGCAAGUCGAACGGUAACAGGUUAAGCUGACGAGUGGCGAACGGGUGAGUAAUGCAUCGGAACGUGCCCGAUCGUGGGGGAUAACGCAGCGAAAGUUGCGCUAAUACCGCAUACGAUCUGAGGAUGAAAGCGGGGGACCGUAAGGCCUCGCGCGAUCGGAGCGGCCGAUGUCAGAUUAGGUAGUUGGUGGGGUAAAGGCUCACCAAGCCAACGAUCUGUAGCUGGUCUGAGAGGACGACCAGCCACACUGGGACUGAGACACGGCCCAGACUCCUACGGGAGGCAGCAGCGGGGAAUUUUGGACAAUGGGCGAAAGCCUGAUCCAGCAAUGCCGCGUGCAGGAAGAAGGCCUUCGGGUUGUAAACUGCUUUUGUACGGAGCGAAAAGGCUCUCUCUAAUACAGGGGGCUCAUGACGGUACCGUAAGAAUAAGCACCGGCUAACUACGUGCCAGCAGCCGCAGUAA